UCCCUCUUAGCUCAGUUGGUAGAGCGCGUCACUAGUACUGGGAAGUCUAUGACGAGGUCAGUCGUUCGAGUCGGCUAGAGGGAA
RNAcentral lists this transfer RNA (84 nucleotides) under Agaricus bisporus var. burnettii JB137-S8. It matches the Rfam family "tRNA". From Rfam's summary of the family: Transfer RNA (tRNA) molecules are approximately 80 nucleotides in length. Their secondary structure includes four short double-helical elements and three loops (D, anti-codon, and T loops). Lineage: Eukaryota; Fungi; Basidiomycota; Agaricomycetes; Agaricales; Agaricaceae. The record is from Rfam by way of RNAcentral.